GUCAUCGAUGGGGAUGCGUUCCAUUAGCUUGUUGGCGGGGUAACGGCCCACCAAGGCAUCGAUGGAUAGGGGUUCUGAGAGGAAGGUCCCCCACAUUGGAACUGAGACACGGUCCAAACUCCUACGGGAGGCAGCAGUGAGGAAUAUUGGUCAAUGGGCGCUAGCCUGAACCAGCCAAGUAGCGUGAAGGAUGACUGCCCUAUGGGUUGUAAACUUCUUUUAUAUGGGAAUAAAGUGCAGUAUGUAUACUGCUUUGCAUGUACCUUAUGAAUAAGGAUCGGCUAACUCCGUGCCAGCAGCCGCGGUAAUACGGAGGAUCCGAGCGUUAUCCGGAUUUAUUGGGUUUAAAGGGAGCGUAGGCGGGUUGUUAAGUCAGUUGUGAAAGUUUGCGGCUCAACCGUAAAAUUGCAGUUGAUACUGGCAUCCUUGAGUACAGUAGAGGUAGGCGGAAUUCGUGGUGUAGCGGUGAAAUGCUUAGAUAUCACGAAGAACUCCGAUUGCGAAGGCAGCCUGCUGGACUGUAACUGACGCUGAUGCUCGAAAGUGUGGGUAUCAAACAGGAUUAGAUACCCUGGUAGUCCACACAGUAAACGAUGAAUACUCGCUGUUUGCGAUAUAC
This 619-nucleotide ribosomal RNA is filed under the name uncultured bacterium. RNAcentral describes it as "bacterial SSU rRNA". It matches the Rfam family "Bacterial small subunit ribosomal RNA", at positions 218 to 834 of the family's 1533-position model. The record is from RNAcentral.